UACAGAGGUCUCAAGCGUUGUUCGGAUUCAUUGGGCGUAAAGGGUGCGUAGGCGGUGUGGCAAGUCGGGAGUGAAAUCUCUGGGCUCAACCCUGGAAGUGCACUUGAUACUACGGAGCUUGAGUACUGAAGAGGAGAGCGGAAUUCCCGGUGUAGAGGUGAAAUUCGUAGAUAUCGGGAGGAACACCAGUGGCGAAGGCGGCGUCCUGGACCAACACUGACACUGAGGGA
Molecule: ribosomal RNA, 230 nt
Filed under: uncultured bacterium
Lineage: Bacteria
Description: partial 16S ribosomal RNA
Rfam family: Bacterial small subunit ribosomal RNA
Source: RNAcentral